This 399-nucleotide ribosomal RNA is filed under the name uncultured bacterium. RNAcentral describes it as "bacterial SSU rRNA". It matches the Rfam family "Bacterial small subunit ribosomal RNA", at positions 64 to 507 of the family's 1533-position model. The record is from RNAcentral.
GAACGCUCGUAGCAAUACGGGAGUGGCAGACGGGUGAGUAACGCGUGGGAACCUUCCCAGUGGUACGGAAUAGCUCAGGGAAACUUGGGGUAAUACCGUAUAAGCCCUUAGGGGGAAAGAUUUAUCGCCAUUGGAUGGGCCCGCGUCGGAUUAGCUAGUUGGUGGGGUAACGGCCUACCAAGGCGACGAUCCGUAGCUGGUCUGAGAGGAUGAUCAGCCACACUGGGACUGAGACACGGCCCAGACUCCUACGGGAGGCAGCAGUGGGGAAUAUUGGACAAUGGGCGCAAGCCUGAUCCAGCCAUGCCGCGUGAGUGACGAAGGCCUUAGGGUUGUAAAGCUCUUUUGGCGGGGAAGACAAUGACGGUACCCGCAGAAUAAGCUCCGGCUAACUUCGUG